RNAcentral lists this long non-coding RNA (4765 nucleotides) under Taeniopygia guttata (zebra finch). Its description in RNAcentral is "lncRNA (ENSTGUG00000026956.1)". Lineage: Eukaryota; Metazoa; Chordata; Aves; Passeriformes; Estrildidae. The record is from RNAcentral.
UUUUUUUUUUUUGUCACUCACCAUUUAUCACUGUCCCUCCUCCUUCCCCAGUUACCUUUAAUGUGUUUCAUUCUCCUGGAGUAUUUUUUCCAUCUCAGCUUCAUUCCCUGUCUCCUAUUUCUGGUUCAGCCUUGAAGUUCCAAGUUGUCUCAUUUUCACAACAGAGUUUGUCACAGAUCAGCUGCACCCUUUUCCCACCCUUUUGAUCCCUGCAACUUUCAUUGUUUCUCUGAGCAGAAGGCUUUGAAAAGGAGUGCUGCAUUCUGAUUCCAAGUCAGAGAUACUGCUCUCCUCUUACUUCCUCUCAAAAGAAGUCAAGAAGAUGAAAAAACACAUCCCUGAUUCAUCAGAACUUAGGGAGUACACAAUUAAAAAUUACAAAAUUUAACUUGUAAGAGUACCUUCGUGUAACUACUUCAAUUUUUUUUGGAUAUAAGGCAAAGCUGAGGAAAAAGCAGGAACACAUAGAUCUUACAUAAAAUGAAAUACUGGACUUUAACAUCCACUGCUUGUGUGACAGGCAGCCCACAGCUGCCUUGUGCCCUUUGAAACAGGCCCAUCCUUGUCUCCUUGGCAAGAUCUCCCCACAAUUCAUUCAUUAAUUUGCAUUUGAGUGGAAGCAGCACCUUAGGAAAUAGAUCUGAAAUUCAAGAGUGUGUACCACUGCAUUUUGAUCUGUUCUCUGAUAUCCAUAGGAGCAUGUAAGCAGCUUUGGCAUGUUCACAGGUUCCGAGUUCUCCCUUGCAGGGCUCCACUGGGGUUUGGAUAGCAAGCCCUGGGGGUAUGUGAAGUAACACAGGAAGAUCUGGAUCAAAAAGAAAAUCCUUCUGCUAUAUUUGAUAAUGGGAGAGGUCACCACUUUCUGUCAGACUCCAAUGCAAGUCUUACAUUCUAGGACAUGUUUAUUCCAUGACAAAGGCAAGCUCUUUGCAGGCAAAAGCAAAACCCUUUUUAUAAGGGACAGCAUUAAGCUUACUUCUAGUAUUUCUGUCCAGAAUUCACAUAAUUCCUACAGACACAGACUGAAUAACAUCAGCAGUAGCAUUUUUGGUGGAUGUUCAAUUCCAUGUCAAACUUUCCUUAAACAAGGCAAUCAUGCUGAUUCUUGGCUGUGAAGCUCAAAGGAGAUUAUUCCUCCAGCACAUAUUUCUGAGGUUUGCAAUCAAAUGCUUUCUUUGGGAGAUGGAAACAUUUGAGAAUCAUGUUAGACCACAGAGAAGCAUUUCAUCCCCACUACAUCAUCUCUGCACCAUUUGCAAGGGCUAUUGCCAAGGAGUUGUCACUCCCAUCUCAGGAAGCCCUUGAAAAAGCCAUUUACACUUUUGUCUUUCUUCAGGAUUAGAUUACUCUAAUUCUUUAUUGACUGCCAUGCACAACAGGGCUCUGCACAACCUCCAGCAGGCACAGCCUCCUGCUCUGUUUUUUGUGAGAAAAGGAUGAUUUGAACAUAUUGUGCUGAUUGUAAAGCCUUUCCAUCACUGGCAACAAAGUCAAUGAAUUGAUUAUAAAAUUGUUCUGUUUACUUAGGACACAAAUUAUGGUCACUGCCUUUUUGCUGGCGAGUUUAAUUGGAACUAACUAGUUGAAUCCUUACAGAAAUCCUGUACUUUAUGGAACACAUCACACCCUCUCUUUUCCCAGCAGUGCUCCAAAGCUGCUUGAAGCAAAAUAUGGCCACUAGAAGCUCUUAAGACCUACUGUUCUACACCUCCCAGGAUGAAUGGGGUUUAUCUUUCUAAAAUUGAAGCUGAAAAAAACCCCACACUUUCUGGCAGCUCAUGGUGUUAAAGUUGGUUUUAUGGUGGGCUAUUUCACUCAAAGUACUGAUUUCUGUUUUAUUAGCCAUGAUUUUGAUUGUCUGCUGUAUUCACUUCCAACUGCAGGAUUUGGAUUAUUUUCUACCCUCUCUAUUGUCUACCAAGAUAAAUAGCCAAUUGCACUUCAUAUAGCCAGAGAUUCAUUGCACCCCUUACAGAUCAAACUGUUACUUACAUUUACUCUGAUAGUUCAACUAAUGCUUCAUUUACUCCUGCAAAUUAAGUAUUGCUCAACUAAAGCUCAGCCUGUUUCCAUCUAAAGAAUCUAGAGUUAAUACUCAUUGUCCUAGACAAGUUUUUAGCCACUUCUGGCUCUCAAACCAGCAUUAAUUCUGUUAAACCCAGCAAGGUAUCAUUUCUCCAGAACUGUAAAGUUAAUUAAAAAAUACACACAAAUAUAUAUACUCACACACAUAUAUUCACACACACCUAUAUAUUGGCUGCAUUGAGAAUAUGCAUCAAACCUGAAACUCUGAUUGUCAGUUAGCCUUUCCAAGUUCACCACAGGGUUUUUCCAGCCCUGGUUCCUGGUUGCAGCUUCCCGUCCCAGGAAUGCCAGAUCAUUUCCCAGAAGGUGCUCCAAACCUUAUUUCUUCUGGGUCUGGUUUCUUGUUUGAUUAACAGAACUCUCAUGCCCACAUGCCUCCUGAUUAAUUAUAACAUGCUUUAACUGUUGUUCAUUAUUUGAUAAAGCAACAGAAGGAUAACUCCAGCAAGACAUCUACCUCAAAUUUUGUGUUCAUGACUCCCUGCUUGUAUUUUUUCUUGUUUACAUCUUCAGUUCUGUACAAUGGGGUCUUGUUAGUAAAGCACAGCACACUGGUGUGCAUCGCAAGGAACACUGAGCAAGCCAGGAGGACUCAAAGGCCCUCUUAGCACAUUUGCAGUGAAAAUUUCCUGCAGCAUAAUAGGCUUGGUGCCCACUGACACCCACUAGAAAGUUGACUAGUGACAAUUUGUUAUUCUAGUCAGACUUGUUCCCAGCCACUCCUGACAUUCAGAAUUGUAGUAAGAAAGUAUAUUUUUAUUAUACUGAAAACACUCUUUGAAACAGAUUUAGAAUUGCAGGAGAUCUAUUGAUGUCAUUCAUCUCAGCUGAAACUACAGAGCAGUGUGAGGCUUUUCCUUCCCUUCUGUGUUUGCAUAUUUGACAGUAGCUGUUUCUGUAUGCUUAAAAAAGUGAUGUGUCUGUCAGUUAUUAUUUAAUUCUCCUCUCAAUCACAUUAGGCUGAACAAAGACAGGUCAAUUACAUACUCUUUUUUAAAAGACACUUUCAUUAAAAUCAAGUUUGAUCAAGAAUCAACAUUAUUUGAAGUCUUUUCUCCUGUCAUCCCUAAAGCACACAGAGAUUAGCACUCAAGUUCCUUAGCCAGAAGCACUGGAGAGAAUCCCUUACCUAACCUUUCUCUGGAGAGGAAGACAUGGCAAAUGCAAAAUUGCCAUGCUAUAGACUAUAUUUUUGGUAGGAUGGUACUAUAUUUUCUGCAUAGAUUGUGACCAGACUGGAAAUAUAUUAAAUAAUACAAAAGCCCAUCAAAACAUUCAAAACAUUCAUAGGAAGAUGGGCCCACUUUCGAGCCCAAAAUGUAUCUUGCAGAAUUUCAUCUGCUUUCUGAAUGAGGAUGGUUUUCCCAAAGCUUACGUAAAUAUUAAAAACUCUUAACUAUUUGUUAUAUGCAAAUGGCUCCUCAGAAGUUAAAAACUGCAAAAGAUUGAGAUCUGUAAGAAUUACUUGGUAAAAAGAAAAAAGAAAGACUAUGUAUUUAAUAAAGAAUCCAAUCAGAUUGAAUUAACACAAGCUGAGUGUACCUGCUUGCUCCAAGAGUAAAUCUCCAGGCAGGAGCCAUGCUGGGAGUGGAGCUGUGAGAUUUUGGACCCAGAGUAACAGAGGGGAUGACAGAAGAUCCAGGCCCUUUCAUUUAGCUGGUAGUUCAUGACCAGACUGCAUUACCUUCUACUUACCUACUUUUAGUGAGGAUAGCAGAAUACAUUUUCUUUAAGCCUGAUUUACGUUUGCAGUCUGCUCUCAUGCAUUUUGGAGAAGUUUUGAAAGACAGAAGAUCAAUGGAGGACUUUAAACAGAAGAUCACCCCCUCUGAAGGUGAAGCAGAAACUGGGACAGUUUCCAAAUGUUUAACAGAAUCAUCUAAUACUUCUGGCAGCUCCAGAGAUCAUUACACUCUUAAAUGAGAAAGUAAAUCGGGGAAAUAUAGCCAGGACAUUUAAGGAAAAGACUGGCUAUUUAGGGAAUUAAAUACAAAAAGUGUAUCAAAAGAAUACUACACACUAAAAAAAUAAUCAUGUUGAAAUCUCUGGCACCUAAAAAUAUUAUAACAAAAAAAAAAAAAAGAGGAGAGAGAAGACCCUCCCUCUGUGCCAGAGCACCACUCAGCGUGGGAAUGGAAAAUGGAGUGGUGUCACAUCCCUGGUUUCAGCUCCUUACUUCCGAGACAGGCUGCCCUAAUUUAUCCUGGCUCCUUUAGUUUACUCUAAUUUAUGCUAUCCAUGAGUGACUUAAAGAAUCACAGGCCAGACAAGGAUCAGCAAGCAGAAACUAAUUUCUGUUCACUUAAAAUUCUCUUUCUUUCUUUUUUUCCAGGCAUUUGCAGAUGAAAAUCUCUUUGUUGGUGCUGCUUCACCAGUUCAAAAGGGCUGAUAAUGUGGUGACCAAUCCAGCCUUCCCUCUGGAAGCCUUAGUUGUUUACCAUAAGAGAGAUUUUUCUAUUUAGAAUACAGCAUUUGGACAGGUUUACAUAUACAGAUCUUUCAGUGUAACAUGUUACUUGCUCCAAAGACUGUCAGAACAAUUUAAGGUAUUAGUGCAGGUGAUGUUUGGAAACAGAGGAGAUACCUUGCAGAAGGUCAAAUAAAGAUAGAGAGAUUGCCUGAAGAUUGUCACAGAGGAGAGUUCCACAGAGCAGAAUUUAAAAAAAAAAAAAAAAAAAAA